RNAcentral lists this ribosomal RNA (1362 nucleotides) under Alternaria alternata. RNAcentral describes it as "SSU rRNA". It matches the Rfam family "Eukaryotic small subunit ribosomal RNA", at positions 47 to 1441 of the family's 1831-position model. The record is from RNAcentral. Lineage: Eukaryota; Fungi; Ascomycota; Dothideomycetes; Pleosporales; Pleosporaceae.
AACCGCCCCUCCUCCCCGUAUAAGCAAUUAUACCGUGAAACUGCGAAUGGCUCAUUAAAUCACGUUAUCGUUUAUUUGAUAAUACCUUACUACUUGGAUAACCGUGGUAAUUCUAGAGCUAAUACAUGCUGAAAAUCCCGACUUCGGAAGGGAUGUGUUUAUUAGAUAAAAAACCAAUGCCCUUCGGGGCUUUUUGGUGAUUCAUGAUAACUUUACGGAUCGCAUAGCCUUGCGCUGGCGACGGUUCAUUCAAAUUUCUGCCCUAUCAACUUUCGAUGGUAAGGUAUUGGCUUACCAUGGUUUCAACGGGUAACGGGGAAUUAGGGUUCGAUUCCGGAGAGGGAGCUUGAGAAACGGCUACCCAUCAAGGAAGGCAGCGGCGCGCAAAUUACCCAAUCCCGACACGGGGAGGUAGUGACAAUAAAUACUGAUACAGGGCUCUUUUGGGUCUUGUAAUUGGAAUGAGUACAAUUUAAACCUCUUAACGAGGAACAAUUGGAGGGCAAGUCUGGUGCCAGCAGCCGCGGUAAUUCCAGCUCCAAUAGCGUAUAUUAAAGUUGUUGCAGUUAAAAAGCUCGUAGUUGAAACUUGGGCCUGGCUGGCGGGUCCGCCUCACCGCGUGCACUCGUCCGGCCGGGCCUUCCUUCUGAAGAACCUCAUGCCCUUCACUGGGCGUGCUGGGGAAUCAGGACUUUUACUUUGAAAAAAUUAGAGUGUUCAAAGCAGGCCUUUGCUCGAAUACGUUAGCAUGGAAUAAUAAAAUAGGGCGUGCGUUUCUAUUUUGUUGGUUUCUAGAGACGCCGCAAUGAUUAACAGGAACAGUCGGGGGGCAUCAGUAUUCAGUUGUCAGAGGUGAAAUUCUUGGAUUUACUGAAGACUAACUACUGCGAAAGCAUUUGCCAAGGAUGUUUUCAUUAAUCAGUGAACGAAAGUUAGGGGAUCAAAGACGAUCAGAUACCGUCGUAGUCUUAACCGUAAACUAUGCCGACUAGGGAUCGGGCGAUGUUCUUUUUCUGACUCGCUCGGCACCUUACGAGAAAUCAAAGUUUUUGGGUUCUGGGGGGAUUAUGGUCGCAAGGCUGAAACUUAAAGAAAUUGACGGAAGGUCACCACCAGGCGUGGAGCCUGCGGCUUAAUUUGACUCAACACGGGGAAACUCACCAGGUCCAGAUGAAAUAAGGAUUGACAGAUUGAGAGCUCUUUCUUGAUUUUUCAGGUGGUGGUGCAUGGCCGUUCUUAGUUCGUGGGGUGACUUGUCUGCUUAAUUGCGAUAACGAGCGAGACCUUACUCUGCUAAAUAGCCAGGCUAACUUUGGUUGGUCGCCGGCUUCUUAGAGAGACUAUCAACUGCAAGGGGAAGGU